AGAGUUUGAUCAUGGCUCAGAUUGAACGCUGGCGGCAUGCUUUACACAUGCAAGUCGAACGGCAGCACGGGGGCAACCCUGGUGGCGAGUGGCGAACGGGUGAGUAACGAAUCGGAACGUGCCCGGUAGUGGGGGAUAACCAGUCGAAAGAUUGGCUAAUACCGCAUACGACCUACGGGUGAAAGCGGGGGACCGUAAGG
This 200-nucleotide ribosomal RNA is filed under the name uncultured bacterium. RNAcentral's name for it is "partial 16S ribosomal RNA". It matches the Rfam family "Bacterial small subunit ribosomal RNA", at positions 8 to 209 of the family's 1533-position model. The record is from RNAcentral.